Paramuricea clavata is the source of this 1184-nucleotide non-coding RNA. The record is from the annotation of a GenBank genome assembly. NCBI's taxonomy places the organism in Eukaryota, Metazoa, Cnidaria, Anthozoa, Malacalcyonacea, Plexauridae.
GGUAUGGAUAAUUUUGAAUCAUUGUUAGCUGGUGCUCACAUGAUGGUAGGUUUUCUAUCAGGUAUCUUAUCUGUUUCUUGAGAUACAAUUAUCUGGUAAAUGCAAGUAAAAAUCGCACCAAAAUAAAAUAUUACUAUAAAAUUGGUUAAUACAAACAAUUGGCUCCGGAAAAAUGGCAUGCAUAAUCCACAUGGGAAUUUCGUGUUCUCUCAAACUACCGCAAGUGUGCAAAACGUAUAUAACUAUAUGGAAGCACAGAAAAAAUGUUUUCUAUUUGUUAUGUAAUAUUAGCCUACAUGGCAGCCCCUCGUCGAAGCGGAAACGCAAAUGGAGAAUGACGGCCUGCAUUGAAACCAAUAGACACACAAAUAAAAGCUUAUUAAAAUUGACUAAAUAUGCGUAAAUAUGUCAAUCAAGACGAAGAAAUGCAAUAAUGUGUUCGUUUGGGGUUUAAACAAAUCCGUUAUUUUUUUGCAUAGACCAAUCGCAUUUUAUGUGUAAAAAUUGAAUUGUGUUUUAGCACUGAUUAAAAUUAUUUAUCACUGAUUAAUUUCGUGAUUAAAAUCACGAAAACCGGAUUUUCUUGCAGGUCCUCAUUCGCUGUUCGUCUUCUCUGUUGAAACGAGGGCCUGCCACGCAAGCUAUAAUAUGCUGCAGUAGUCUAGACAAAUAUGGGUACAUGACGCUUUUUCAGUCUAUAAAUGUUUCUGGUAAAUCAGCUAUUUCAAUAUUAUUAUCCUUAGACUAUUGUAAUAUAAAUUUAAACUGAGUCUCAAUCUUUUCCAUUUUAGGAUCGCCAUUUUCUUUCCGCCCCUGCAGAAGAGAAUGUAUGUUUCAUGAGUUAUUACUACCACUAGUAUACAAUCGUCAUAUCUAUAAUUUGGCGAGUGUUAUAAUAUAUAAUUACAUAGAAAUAUUAUACCUCAAAUUCAAAGUGUCCUAUCAGAAAGCUACGUUUGUGCCAUGCGAGCAUGAAAUGUAUCAUCGAAUCACGCCUUACGGCAUCGUAUUUGACGUAGCGGGUGAUUUUAAUCAUAUCACACGAGGUGAAUUGAUCAUAUCACCCGGGUGGUAUGAUUCGCGGAGAUCGCGCAAACUAGAUGGCCGACAAAAUGUACUGAUGAGUCAUUUUCCCCGAGCCGACGGCGCGAAGCGCCGUGCGAGGGUACUAAUUCCGCACGGCU